GGUGAAAAGCACCCCGGAAGGGGAGUGAAAUAGAACCUGAAACCGUGUGCUUACAAGUAGUCAGAGCCCGUUAAUGGGUGAUGGCGUGCCUUUUGUAGAAUGAACCGGCGAGUUACGAUUUGAUGCAAGGUUAAGCAGUAAAUGUGGAGCCGUAGCGAAAGCGAGUCUGAAUAGGGCGUUUAGUAUUUGGUCGUAGACCCGAAACCAGGUGAUCUACCCUUGGUCAGGUUGAAGUUCAGGUAACACUGAAUGGAGGACCGAACCGACUUACGUUGAAAAGUGAGCGGAUGAACUGAGGGUAGCGGAGAAAUUCCAAUCGAACCUGGAGAUAGCUGGUUCUCUCCGAAAUAGCUUUAGGGCUAGCCUCAAGUGAUGAUUAUUGGAGGUAGAGCACUGUUUGGACGAGGGGCCCCUCUCGGGUUACCGAAUUCAGACAAACUCCGAAUGCCAAUUAAUUUAACUUGGGAGUCAGAACAUGGGUGAUAAGGUCCGUGUUCGAAAGGGAAACAGCCCAGACCACCAGCUAAGGUCCCAAAAUAUAUGUUAAGUGGAAAAGGAUGUGGCGUUGCCCAGACAACUAGGAUGUUGGCUUAGAAGCAGCCAUCAUUUAAAGAGUGCGUAAUAGCUCACUAGUCGAGUGACACUGCGCCGAAAAUGUACCGGGGCUAAACAUAUUACCGAAGCUGUGGAUUGUCCUUUGGACAAUGGUAGGAGAGCGUUCUAAGGGCGUUGAAGCAUGAUCGUAAGGACAUGUGGAGCGCUUAGAAGUGAGAAUGCCGGUGUGAGUAGCGAAAGACGGGUGAGAAUCCCGUCCACCGAUUGACUAAGGUUUCCAGAGGAAGGCUCGUCCGCUCUGGGUUAGUCGGGUCCUAAGCUGAGGCCGACAGGCGUAGGCGAUGGAUAACAGGUUGAUAUUCCUGUACCACCUAUAAUCGUUUUAAUCGAUGGGGGGACGCAGUAGGAUAGGCGAAGCGUGCGAUUGGAUUGCACGUCUAAGCAGUAAGGCUGAGUAUUAGGCAAAUCCGGUACUCAUUAAGGCUGAGCUGUGAUGGGGAGAAGACAUUGUGUCUUCGAGUCGUUGAUUUCACACUGCCGAGAAAAGCCUCUAGAUAGAAAAUAGGUGCCCGUACCGCAAACCGACACAGGUAGUCAAGAUGAGAAUUCUAAGGUGAGCGAGCGAACUCUCGUUAAGGAACUCGGCAAAAUGACCCCGUAACUUCGGGAGAAGGGGUGCUCUUUAGGGUUAACGCCCAGAAGAGCCGCAGUGAAUAGGCCCAAGCGACUGUUUAUCAAAAACACAGGUCUCUGCUAAACCGUAAGGUGAUGUAUAGGGGCUGACGCCUGCCCGGUGCUGGAAG
This 1358-nucleotide ribosomal RNA is filed under the name Staphylococcus aureus. RNAcentral describes it as "partial 23S ribosomal RNA". It matches the Rfam family "Bacterial large subunit ribosomal RNA", at positions 513 to 1875 of the family's 2925-position model. The record is from RNAcentral. Lineage: Bacteria; Bacillati; Bacillota; Bacilli; Caryophanales; Staphylococcaceae.